UGAUUCGAACCGUGCCAGUGGCCUAGUGGUUAGAGCGUCCUCCUCAGAUGUGGGAGGUCGUGGGUUUGAUCCCAGGCCGAGUUCAA
Potamilus streckersoni is the source of this 86-nucleotide non-coding RNA. Lineage: Eukaryota; Metazoa; Mollusca; Bivalvia; Unionida; Unionidae. The record is from the annotation of a GenBank genome assembly.